Strigops habroptila (Kakapo) is the source of this 1658-nucleotide long non-coding RNA. RefSeq lists it as uncharacterized. The record is from RefSeq and is a predicted model, not a curated record. The transcript is spliced from 3 exons. Lineage: Eukaryota; Metazoa; Chordata; Aves; Psittaciformes; Psittacidae.
GGCCUCGAGCGGCCCCAUGGUGGCCACAGCGCCCGCGACCUCGUGGCGUGGCCGCCAGGCGCGGUCUGUGGUGGCGAUGGUGGCGCGGUGUGGCGCCAUGGGCUGCACCUCAGCUCAGCUCACCUCAGCUCAGCUCACCUCAACUCACCUCAACGCACCUCACCUCAACACAGCUCACCUCACCACACCUCCUGCUCCACCAGUCCAAGGCUCUCCGGCAUGCCUGGCUGCAACAUGGUGCCCCCAUGCUGCACCUCCGCACCACGAUGCAGCUCCCAGCGUGACACCUCCAUGGCGCGAGGCUGAGGCGGUGCUCCCUGUCACCCCGGGACACCCCGCACCGGGGGUGAGGCUGCCCUGAGGGAUGGAUGCAGUGGUGAUGGGAUGAGCGGGAUCGUUACGGGAGUGCUCUGGAAGCUGACGUGGUGGACUCGCGGCUUUCCUGUGGGAGCGGGUAUGUAUUUGUUUAUUUGAUGCUCAACACAAGCACAAACCAUAAUUUAUCAAAGAAACUGAGUUCCAUACGUGAAGCAGCGAGAGGUUUUAACGUACCUUUCAAGCCCAAGUCUACUCGCUUUUGAUUUUGUACUGCUGUGGAGUCUAGAAGUGCUUCCUGCCUGUGCUCAAUCUGCUGCGUGGUGCUUCUGGAGACGCCAUGGAGUGUUUGCAGGACAUCUGGGUUGUUCCCUUUAUUGGAAUCAGCCUGAGAGCACAGACCAGUCUGGUUCGUGUUUGUUGUGCCACUGCUGUAUCCCUCAUGAAUGAAGCAGCAUAUGAUUUUGUAGUUAAUUUAACAUCUGCUGGUACGACUGUAAGCCAGCCAUGUUUUUAAUGUUGGAAUGGCUGGUUUAUAUUUGGCCGUGUUCUUCCUCAUCUGGUGUUGAUCAAAAGUUCAUAUAAGGGUUGUUUCAACAGACUCCGAGAGCUUAAUCCCAUGAAGAUUUGCAUAUCUCUUUAACCUGAAAUACCUGGGAGGUCACGUUUCGGUUGCAAAAAUCAGUGUAACCUUUCAAGGUUAAAACCUAAAUAUUUAAAGGUUUGUAACGUGGCCUUUCAUUUUCAUGCUUUCCAGUAAUGAAGACAUUCAAAACGUUAGCAAGGCAUAGGCCUAUUAAGAAAAUAUGUGAAACUAUGUGUAAGAUACAGACUAUUGCCUUUUUUAUUGUGAACCGUGUCAAACAUUACCAGCACCCACAAGCAGUUGAUAAGAACAAUGUGUUCCCUUCUCCCUUCUACUUAAAUAAUCUAACUGCUAAUUAAAACUUUGUCUUAAAGAGAGAUCUGCGCUUCGAGCUUUAUCUGAUUUGCACAAUUAAAGGCUGGUAUUAAGCAGCAGCUGCAUUUCAAUGGCAAAUGAAGCCAGCAUAUAGAAACACUGUCCUUCAUCUGGCCUCGACUGCUGGAUGCAUAAUACUGGGAUUCAUUUAGGAAAUCCUGUCAAGUCUCUCUGCAGAAGUGACUGCAUGCCAAGGACAGUGAAGUAAUUAAGAAGAACCUCAAUUACGAGGAGAAUUCCAGUAGCGUUGCAAGACUUGACAAAGCUGUUAUGACUUCUUGAGGGUUACACAGGAGUGCCCCUUUACAACUCUGCUUGCUGCUUUUUAACACCACCCGAAUUUCGUGCUGCGACUACAUCACUUUUUCCAAAGGUUUCUUUG